This 299-nucleotide signal recognition particle RNA is filed under the name Cebus imitator (Panamanian white-faced capuchin). RNAcentral describes it as "Metazoan signal recognition particle RNA (ENSCCAG00000014464.1)". It matches the Rfam family "Metazoan signal recognition particle RNA". Rfam says of the family: The signal recognition particle (SRP) is a universally conserved ribonucleoprotein. Lineage: Eukaryota; Metazoa; Chordata; Mammalia; Primates; Cebidae. The record is from RNAcentral.
GCUGGGCGCAGUGGCGCAUGCCUGUAGUCCCAGCUACUUGGGAGGCUGAGGUGGGAGGAUCGCUUGAGCCCAGGAAUUCUGGGCUGUAGUGCGCUAUGCUGAUCGGGUGUCUGCACUAAGUUCGGCAUCAAUAUGGUGACCUCCUGGGAGCGGGGGACCACCAGGUUGCCUAAGGAGGGGUGAACCGGCCCAGGUAGGAAACAGAGCAGGUCAAAACUCCUGUGCUGAUCAGUAGUGGGAUCACGCCUGUAAAUAGCCACUGCACUCCAGCUUGGGCAAUGUAGUGAGGCCCCAUCUCU